RNAcentral lists this ribosomal RNA (497 nucleotides) under uncultured bacterium. RNAcentral describes it as "partial 16S ribosomal RNA". It matches the Rfam family "Bacterial small subunit ribosomal RNA", at positions 28 to 507 of the family's 1533-position model. The record is from RNAcentral.
GACGAACGCUGGCGGCGUGCCUAAUACAUGCAAGUAGAACGCUGAAGCGAGGAGCUUGCUCUUCUUGGAUGAGUUGCGAACGGGUGAGUAACGCGUAGGUAACCUGCCUUGUAGCGGGGGAUAACUAUUGGAAACGAUAGCUAAUACCGCAUAACAAUGGAUGACACAUGUCAUUUAUUUGAAAGGGGCAAUUGCUCCACUACAAGAUGGACCUGCGUUGUAUUAGCUAGUAGGUGAGGUAAUGGCUCACCUAGGCGACGAUACAUAGCCGACCUGAGAGGGUGAUCGGCCGCACUGGGACUGAGACACGGCCCAGACUCCUACGGGAGGCAGCAGUAGGGAAUCUUCGGCAAUGGGGGCAACCCUGACCGAGCAACGCCGCGUGAGUGAAGAAGGUUUUCGGAUCGUAAAGCUCUGUUGUAAGUCAAGAACGGGUGUGAGAGUGGAAAGUUCACACUGUGACGGUAGCUUACCAGAAAGGGACGGCUAACUACGUG